CCUACGGGAGGCAGCAGUGAGGAAUAUUGGUCAAUGGCCGGAAGGCUGAACCAGCCAUGCCGCGUGAAGGUCAGUGCCCUAUGGGCGUUAAACUUCUUUUGUGCGGGAGCAAUAAUGGUCACGUGUGGCCAGAAGAGAGUACCGUACGAAUAAGCAUCGGCUAACUCCGUGAGAGCAGCCGCGGUAAUACGGGGGAUGCAAGCGUUAUCCGGAUUUAUUGGGGUUAAAGGGUGCGUAGGCUGUGAGGUAAGUCAGCGGUGAAAUGCCCCCGCUCAACGGGGUGAAGUGCCAUUGAUACUGCCUGGCUGGAAUGCGGAUGCCGUGGGAGGAAUGUGUGGUGUAGCGGUGAAAUGCAUAGAUAUCACACAGAACACCGAUUGCGAAGGCAUCUCACGAAUCCGCGAUUGACGCUGAUGCACGAAAGCGUGGGUAUCAAACAGGAUUAGAUACCCUAGUAGUC
Molecule: ribosomal RNA, 460 nt
Filed under: uncultured bacterium
Lineage: Bacteria
Description: partial 16S ribosomal RNA
Rfam family: Bacterial small subunit ribosomal RNA
Source: RNAcentral